This 73-nucleotide transfer RNA is filed under the name Bos taurus (domestic cattle). It matches the Rfam family "tRNA". Rfam says of the family: Transfer RNA (tRNA) molecules are approximately 80 nucleotides in length. The record is from Rfam by way of RNAcentral. RNAcentral also lists the same sequence under 2 other names. Lineage: Eukaryota; Metazoa; Chordata; Mammalia; Artiodactyla; Bovidae.
CUCCUGAUGCUCCAUCAGCUAAGACGCUGCACUCCCAGUGCAGAGGGCCCAGGUUCGUUUCCUGGUCAGGGAA